RNAcentral lists this ribosomal RNA (465 nucleotides) under uncultured bacterium. Its description in RNAcentral is "partial 16S ribosomal RNA". It matches the Rfam family "Bacterial small subunit ribosomal RNA", at positions 338 to 795 of the family's 1533-position model. The record is from RNAcentral.
CCUACGGGUGGCUGCAGUAGGGAAUCUUCCGCAAUGGACGCAAGUCUGACGGAGCAACGCCGCGUGAGUGAAGAAGGUUUUCGGAUCGUAAAACUCUGUUGUUAGAGAAGAACAAGUGCUAGAGUAACUGUUAGCGCCUUGACGGUAUCUAACCAGAAAGCCACGGCUAACUACGUGCCAGCAGCCGCGGUAAUACGUAGGUGGCAAGCUUUGUCCGGAUUUCUUGGGCGUAAAGCGAGCGCAGGCGGUUCCUUAAGUCUGAUGUGAAAGCCCCCGGCUCAACCGGGGAGGGGCAUUGGAAACUGGGGAACUUGAGAGCAGAAGAGGAGCGUGGAAUUCCAGGUGGAGCGGUGAAAUGCGUAGAGAUAUGGAGGAACACCAGUGGCGAAGGCGACUCUCUGGUCUGUAACUGACGCUGAGGCUCGAAAGCGUGGGUAGCAAACAGGAUUAGAUACCCCAGUAGUC